CUCAUUGUUCUGGCUCCUGGAGGAAGAAGAAGGGAAUGGAAAAAGAAGGAUGGUUACUGGCCAUAGCAUGAAGCCACAGAGGAUCUCUCACCACUUUCUUGGCAUGCUUUGGAUGAAUAAGGGAGAGAAAAUAGAGAAGAUGACAGCAGGGGAAAUAUUUGCUGUUGUGGUUGGAGCGCCACUCAGAUCCCAAAAAUGAGGCCCGGGCAUAUUUGUGCAGCUGUCCAUCUCCCAAGAGUGGCGUGUGGAAAGGGAAAUCCAUCUGUCUUUCUUGGAUAAAGAUGCCAGAAACAUGGAAGGAAGAGAGACUGCAUUCCAAAAGAGGCUGGAGAAGGA
Thalassophryne amazonica is the source of this 336-nucleotide long non-coding RNA. RefSeq lists it as uncharacterized. Lineage: Eukaryota; Metazoa; Chordata; Actinopteri; Batrachoidiformes; Batrachoididae. The record is from RefSeq and is a predicted model, not a curated record. The transcript has 2 exons.